RNAcentral lists this ribosomal RNA (423 nucleotides) under uncultured bacterium. RNAcentral's name for it is "bacterial SSU rRNA". It matches the Rfam family "Bacterial small subunit ribosomal RNA", at positions 207 to 622 of the family's 1533-position model. The record is from RNAcentral.
AAGACCUUGCACUUUUGGAGCGGCCGAUGUCUGAUUAGCUAGUUGGUGGGGUAAAGGCCUACCAAAGCUUCGAUCAGUAGCUGGUCUGAGAGGACGGCCAGCCACACUGGGACUGAGAUACGGCCCAGACUCCUACGGGAGGCAGCAGUGGGGAAUUUUGGACAAUGGGCGCAAGCCUGAUCCAGCCAUGCCGCGUGAGUGAAGAAGGCCUUCGGGCUGUAAAGCUCUUUCAGCCGGGAAGAAAAGGCUGCGACUAAUAAUCGCAGUUCAUGACGGUACCGGAAGAAGAAGCACCGGCUAACUACGUGCCAGCAGCCGCGGUAAUACGUAGGGUGCGAGCGUUAAUCGGAAUUACUGGGCGUAAAGGGUGCGCAGGCGGUUUUGUAAGUCAGAUGUGAAAUCCCCGGGCUUAACCUGGGAACU